RNAcentral lists this ribosomal RNA (122 nucleotides) under Pachypsylla venusta (hackberry petiole gall psyllid). Lineage: Eukaryota; Metazoa; Arthropoda; Insecta; Hemiptera; Aphalaridae. The record is from RNAcentral.
GCUAACGAUCAUACCACGUUGAAUAAACCAGUUCCCGUCAGGUCACUGAAGUUAAGCAAUGUCGGGCGUGGUCAGUACUUGGAUGGGUGACCGCUUGGGAACACCACGUAUCGUUGGCUCUU